UUGGGGAGGUCGACGAGGUGGGACUCAAACCCCGGGAAGUCCACCAUGCUGUCCGUCCGGAGCGGGUCCGUGCCGCAGAAUGCCGCCAGUGCUACCACCAGCAGCGUCGCGGCCACUACAACCGGCGACGGCAUCGCGCUAGCCCGCUACCUCGUCUCUCGCCCGCGGCUCACCCACUCGCCUCCGUCCGCCGUCGCCUCGCUCUCGCGGGGUUUCGCUUGGAUUUCUCUACACACUCCCCCCGAUCUGCCUCACCUUCCAUGUAGAGCACGGAUCGAGAGCCGAUGCGUCGUCUCUCCUCGCCUUCCACGGGUAGCGAGCCCCGGACUUGCAUCUGGAGACCUAGAUUCCAUCGAUCUGGGCAAGCGCGGCGCGGACGCUGUCAAUCUAGGCGAAUCUGGAGAGCGCGGAUCGAGGCCGCAAUCCUGUCCGAGCAGUGAUCCCGUCGAUUUGGGCGCCGGCCUCGCCUUCCAUGUAGAGCGCGGGAGCAGGGGAGAGCGCAGAGCAGGGAUUCCGUCGAUUUGGGCGUCGGCCUCACCUUCCAUGUAG
RNAcentral lists this unclassified non-coding RNA (549 nucleotides) under Zea mays. Its description in RNAcentral is "misc RNA Zm00001eb008020". Lineage: Eukaryota; Viridiplantae; Streptophyta; Magnoliopsida; Poales; Poaceae. The record is from RNAcentral.